UCCCUAAACUAUCCAAUAAUUUAUCGCCAAAAUCAUUCAUGUCGUCAUGAGCCUAAUAUUCUCGGCUUGAAAUAAUCCAAACAAAACCUUAAGAUAAUGACUCAAUUUACAAAAACUGAAUUUUGAAAACAAAGUCAGCAGGAGUAUUCUCAACCAUAUAAAAGGCUCCCUAGUGUUUUAUCACCGAGUGAAAUCUGCACUCUCUGCCUUUGUCUUUCACUUUCUCGUCAUGGUGCCAAGCCAAAUUAAUGGAGCAAACGAUGAAACCAUCAACAAUAGUGUCUCUGGUCUCUGGGGUAUAGGAGAGCCAGUCACCAGUAUACACAAGAGUCCAAUGAUCAUCCAGCUGGCCUUGAUCUUCAUGGCAUUUCUUAGUUAAUUUUCUCGCUACGCCCAGAGCCACUGAACAUCUAGUUUGGCUCAUGGACACAAUUUGACUCCCAAGUCCCAACACCUCCAAUCCCCUACCAUCUACUCAACAGGUGAAUGUAGUGGCACGAUAUUUCUUCAAUGAUGUCUUGGCAUGCCCUCAUUAGCUAGGUACCCGCAGCUAAUAUAU
This 559-nucleotide long non-coding RNA is filed under the name Oryza brachyantha (malo sina). RNAcentral's name for it is "long non-coding RNA (OBRA_LNC002038)". The record is from RNAcentral. Lineage: Eukaryota; Viridiplantae; Streptophyta; Magnoliopsida; Poales; Poaceae.